CUUUCCAAUUUCCUUUUCUUCUUUGUCUCUCUCAUUUUUCUCCUUUCCUUCUUCAACUUUGAUUUUCCAAAUCAAACUCUACAAAACUUUUAGUAAGUGAAAAUCAAAUUCUUCUUUUAAGCUUGAAAGAUUUGGGCUUUCUUAAUCAAGGAAAACAAAGGUUCAUCCAAAGGCAAGGAAGUGGUAAGAGAAAAAGAAUAGGAUUACUUUGUUAUCCUAUAACUUCUGGUAAGUAUUUAAUAGACUAAACUUUGUGUAUAUUGAGUAGGGACUGCUGUUUGAUUAUUUGAUAAUUUCUUGGUUGACUGAGUUGAUAUUAGUUAUGUUUUUGGCUUGUUAUAAAGUGAAUUGAUUGUGAUGUGUUGUGAAGUGAAUUGAUUGUGAUGUGUUGUGAAGUGAAAUGAUUGUGAUUAAGGAUUGAUGACUUUUGUAUGGAUAUUGUGUGAUCGGGAAAGCUGAGCCGGGCGGAUAGCUACCCGAGUAUGUGAGAUGGCAAGACUGAGCCGGGCGGAUAGUCUUGUCAAGUGGUUACUGAAAUUUAAAAAUGUGAGGAAAUGUAAGGAUGAGUCAUCUGAUCCUAAUUUGAUAGAAAUAAUGUGGAAUUGAAUUAUUUGACUUGGUUGAGUUUGAGAUUAUUUGCAUUACGUGAGAUGAAAUUAUAUGUUUAUGAGAAUAACUGAAAUGGUUGAUUUUGUGAUUGUUAGUUAAAUGUUGGUAUAAUUUUCUGUAUUGAUAAAGAUUUGAUAAUUCUAGCCUAAUAUACUAUAGUUUAGUAAAUUAAAUGCUUAUUGAGUCGCUAGCUCAUUCCUUAGCAAUUUUUUUUUUCAGGUUAGUGCAGUUGUAGAUAGCCUUAGCUGUGCAUUGCUCUUUUUGCAUCAGUCAAUAUUAUCAGGUGGGCCAGAGGAGUUAUCUAAAGCAUUGGGGCAUUUUGGGAACUUGUGUGAAUUAAACUACUGUAUAAAUAUUUCUUAUAUAUAUUAAGUAUGUCAUGCCACUUAAAUUGUAUGAAUGUAUAUUGUAACUAAGUAGUAAAUUAUGUUUAUAAAGUUAUAUAUAUAUAUAUAUUGCUAUUCAAUGGGAAGUUUGAGUUGGGGUGUUAUAGUUUUUGGUAUCAGAGCGGGGAUUAGACCAUUGGGACAUAAGUUUGAGUACUUAUAUUUGUGUUUAUGUUAUGUUAUAUGAAGGUGUGUAUGUGUUGUGAUAUGUUAAAGUGAGUUGGAAUUUUUAAUAUGUUCCAAUAUGUUAAAUGCUUGUGUGAUUGAAUUGAUGGGAAUAGAGGGGAUUAAGAGCAUAACAUGCAAGCAUAUAGUAAUUAUGCACAACCAUUUAUUGUUGUGAAGUUUGUUAAUGAUAUAGGCAUGGAUGAGCACUCCACUGGCCCAGUAGGUUCACAUUCGUCAGUUCAUGCACAUCAUAUUGAACAAGAACAGAUGCAUGAAAAUGAACAGUCACAAGGAAAAGCUGAAGGGUAUGCUCAGCAAAUAGCUGAAGAGUUAAGAAGAUUAGCUCAACAACAGCCACCACCUCCACUAAACGUACCUGCAUUGGAUGCAAACUUUGGAAAGUUAAGAAAGCAUGGCGGGAAAGAGUUUGAGGGGACAACUGAUCCAAUUGUAGCAGAGGAAUGGCUAAAGUCUGUUAAAGGUGUGUUUACACAAUUUAAUACCCAACCGACAACCCAAAUGAAAGUGAGGUAUGCAACCUCAUUAUUUCUUAAGGAUGCUAGAAACUGGUGGGAGACAGUCCCAGGUAGCCAAACACAACCAUUGACAAUGACAUGGGAAGAAUUCUUAAAGGAGUUCAAGAUGAAGUAUAUGCCACCAAUAUAUCAAGAGAGGAAGAAACUUGAAUUCCUUGAAUUGAAACAAAAUGAGAUGUCUGUUGCUGACUAUGAAUUACAAUUUACAAGGUUAUCUAGGUAUGCACCAGAGGAAGUGGCAACUGAUGAACUGAAGAGAAAUAGAUUUGAGAGGGGUUUGAGAUUGGAGAUUCGUGAAAAGUUGGCAGUGCAACCACCUACCUUUAUUGCUUUAUUGGAAGCUGCAACAAGAGCAGAAGAAUUAUUCUUAGAAAGAAAUAUAUUAGAAGCAAAGAAAAAGAAGAUAAUUGGGACAUUUACUCCAUCUUUCUCUAGAGGUACCUCAUUUACACCUAGGGGAGGAUCAGGAGGUCAGCGAGGAGGUUUUAGAGGAAGGGGUAGUUAUCAGUUUAGAGGGCCAAGUAGUAUAACUUUGGGUAGAAGUGGUGGAUCAGUGAACAUGCGAGGUAAUUCUGGGUUUACUGGUAGAGGAUAUAGACCCGUUUGUGGCACUUGUGGAAGGACCCAUUCAGGAGAGUGUUGGGGACCGAGAGUGCAGGUUUGUUAUAGAUGUGGGAAACCUGGGCAUUAUGCCAAUGAGUGUGUGGUAGGUAGAGGAGCAUCGAGUACCUACCAUUCAGGAGGACAAAGUAGUGUUGGGGAUAAUGUAGUACCUACAACGACUGGUCGUGGUAGAGGUAGGGGAGGUAGAAGUGUAGCUACAGCAGCAUAUGUCCAUAUUGAAGAUGCGAACCAAUCCUUACCGCAGGCAAGAGUGUAUGCUGUUACGAGGCAGGAAGCAACUACUUCUCCAGAGAUAAUAACUGGUAUAAUUCCUAUUUGUAGGCAUGAUGCAUAUGUGUUAGUUGACCCCGGAUCUACAUGUUCAUUCAUUUCAUGUGAUUUUGCAUUGAAAAUGCAUUAUGCCAUUGAAUCUUUAGGACAUGAUAUUUGUGUUUCGAUGCCUGCUGGAGGAGUAAUAAUGGUGAAUACCGUAGUUCGGGCUUGUUCUGUGAUGAUUUGUGGUACAAAUAUGUCAGUAGACCUAAUUGUGAUCAAUUUGCGAGAUUUUGAUGUGAUAUUGGGAAUGGAUUGGUUAUCUAGAAAUCAUGUCAUAGUUGACUGUUUAACGAAGGAAGUAAAAAUGGUUAUAGAUGGGGAAAUAAAAAUAGUGUUCACGGGUGACAGGAAAAUUGUACCUACAUGUUUGAUUUUUGCUGCUACUGCUUUUCAUUUAAUGAAAUUUGGGUGUGAUGCUUAUCUUGUGAAUGUGGUAGACACUGGAAUUGUUAGUCCAGGGGUUUCAGAGGUACCAAUAGUCAAAGAAUUCCCAGAUGUAUUUCUAGAAGAAUUACCUGGAUUGCCACCUCAACGAGAAGUGGAUUUUGAAAUUGAAACUAUUCCAGGAGUUGCUCCUAUUUCUAUAGCACCUUAUAGAAUGGCACCGGCAGAAUUACAGGAAUUGAAAAAGCAACUUGAGGAUUUAUUGGAGAAAGGUUAUAUUCGACCUAGUAUAUCACCGUGGGGAGCUCCAGUGUUGUUUGUGAAGAAAAAGGAUGGAAGUAUGAGACUUUGCAUUGAUUAUAGAAAGUUGAACCAAGUUACUAUCAAGAACAAAUAUCCUUUACCUCGCAUUGAUGAUUUGCUUGAUCAACUCAGAGGGGCAACUGUAUUCUCCAAAAUUGAUUUGAGAUCUGGGUAUUGGCAAUUAAAGGUUAGAGAGACUUCUAUACCUAAAACGGCAUUUCGGACACGAUAUGGUCAUUAUGAGUUUGUUGUUAUGCCAUUUGGUUUGACCAAUGCAUCUGCAGCAUUCAUGUCUUUGAUGAAUAAUAUUUUUCAACCGUAUCUUGAUCAAUUUGUGAUAGCCUUCAUUGAUGAUAUUCUGAUAUACUCCAGAAAUUCUGAAGACCAUGAACAUCAUUUAAGAACAAUAUUACAAACUUUGAGAGAAAAACAGUUAUAUGGUAAGUUUAGUAAAUGUGAGUUUUGGAUGAAUAACAUUGCAUUUUUGGGGCAUAUUAUAUCUGCACAAGGUGUUCAACCGGACCCAUCUAAGGUAAAGGCUAUUCAGGAGUGGGAAUCACCAAGAAAUAUUUCAGAAGUUCGUAGUUUUCUGGGAUUGGCUGGGUACUAUAGAAGAUUUGUGAAGAACUUCUCCAUUUUAGCAAAGCCAUUGACUAAUCUGUUAAAGAAACAAGUGACUUUUCAGUGGAAUGAUAAAUGUCAAGCUAGUUUUGAGGAGUUGAAAAAUAGAUUGAUUACAGCACCUAUACUUACAUUACCUAUACAAGGAGGGGAAUAUGUAGUCUAUACAGAUGCUUCACUUAAUGGUUUGGGUUGUGUAUUGAUGCAGAAUGGAAGGGUUAUUGCUUAUGCUUCUAGACAACUUAAACCUCAUGAACGAAAUUAUCCUACACAUGAUUUAGAAUUGGUUGCAAUUAUACAUGCUUUGAAAACUUGGAGACAUUAUCUUUAUGGAGAGACAUUUCGGAUAUUCACUGACCACAAAAGCUUAAAGUACAUACCUACACAGAAAGAGUUGAACCUCAGGCAACGAAGAUGGAUGGAAUUAUUGAAGGAUUAUGAUUGUACCAUUGAUUAUCACCCAGGAAAAGCAAAUGUUGUGGCAGAUGCACUUAGUAGGAAGACUUUGGAAAGGGUUGCAGGUAUGAUUUCAUAUCAGAUGAGUUCCUUAAUUUCGCUAAGAGCUAUGGAUAUGCAUUUUUCUAUAAAGAAUGGGGUAUUAUUGACUACAAUGAAGACUAGUCCCCAGAUACUAGAUGAGAUCAAACAUGCACAAGUAGUGAUGCAUACUUAAAGAAGUUACAGAAGAGUGCAAGAUGGUAGACAGUGACUAAUCGAGCGAGAUGAUGGAAUGUGGGUUAUGAAAACCAGGGUAUAUGUACCUAAUGUAGCCGCAUUGAAACAAAAGAUUUUUUGGGAGGCUCACAAUUCUCCUUAUUCAAUGCACCCAGGGAGUACAAAAAUGUAUAACAAUUUGAAGCCACAUUAUUGGUGGUCAGGCAUGAAGAGGGAGUUGCAGAAUAUGUAGCUAAAUGCCUAACUUGUCAACAAGUGAAAGCAGAACAUCAAUCACCUGCAGGUAAAUUACAGUCUUUAAUUAUACCUGAGUGGAAAUGGGAAAGAAUUACUAUGGACUUUGUUGUUGGUUUGCCUCGCACUUUUAGGAGAAAUGAUGCUAUUUGGGUAAUAGUUGAUAGGUUAACAAAAUCAGCGCACUUUUUACCUAUUCAACAGAAUGAUUCAUUGGAUAAGCUAGCCAACUUGUAUGUGAAAGAAAUUGUUAGGUUGCAUGGUGUACCUAUCUCCAUUGUUUCAGACAGGGAUCCUCGGUUUACAUCUCAUUUCUGGAAGAGCUUACAAGUGGCAAUGGGAACUAAAUUGCAUUUCAGUACUGCUUUUCAUCCUCAAACAGAUGGGCAAUCUGAGAGAACUAUUCAAACUUUUGAAGACAUGUUACGGGCUUGUGCAUUAGAGUAUAGCGGAAAUUGGGAUGAACAGGUACCACUUAUGGAAUUUGCUUAUAAUAAUAGUUUUCAUUCUAGUAUUGGUAUGCCACCAUACGAGGCAUUAUAUGGGAGAAAAUGUAGAAGCCCUAUAUGUUGGGAUGUAGAAGGGUUGAGACAAUUGGAAGGUCCUGAAAUUAUUCAAGAAACAGUAGACAAGAUACAAGUUGCGAAGCAGUGUAUCAAGGCCGCACAAGAUAGACAGAAAAGCUAUGCAGAUAAACACAUAAGGGAAAUUGAGUAUGAAGUUGGGGAUAAGGUUUUCUUGAGAGUAUCACCAUGGAGGGGUAUCCUUCGAUUUGGUAAACAAGGUAAACUAAGUCCUCGAUAUAUCGGGUCGUAUGAGAUUUUAGAGCGGGUUGGUCCUUUAGCCUAUAGACUUGCAUUACCCCCAGAGUUAGCUCAAGUACAUAAUGUUUUCCAUGUUUCUAUGCUUCGACGAUAUCGAUCUGAUCCUAGCCAUGUCAUCAAGAUACCAGAAAUUGAAGUUUCUGAGAAACUCACAUAUGUUGAAGAACCGAUUCAGAUAUUAGACCGACAGGUUAGAAAAUUAAGAAACAAGGAAAUUCCUAUGGUAAAGGUGAAAUGGAGUCAACAUUCAUCUAAGGAAGCAACUUGGGAAGUAGAGAAGCAUAUGAUGGAUAAAUACCCGAGCUUAUUUGGCAUGUCUGUUGGCGAUUAGUUAAUUUCAAGGACGAAAUUUUUUAAGUGGGUAGGAAUUGUCACAACCAAAUUUAUUUACUUCUUUUUAUUAAUAAUUAAUAUUCAUUAGCAUGUCAUUAAACAUGUCAUUUGCAUCAUGAUUAUAUAUGAUCUAUUUUAUUAUAUUAUGUGGUAGAUAAAUAAAUUAUUUAGUUACAUAUUGAUUUAAUUGAAAAGUAAUGAUUUUGGACUAAAUUGAAAAGUUAGAAAGAAAGAGGAUUAAAUUGUAAUUUGCCUAUUUCCACACCAAUAUACCACCUCUUUCAUUUGUUCUUAUCUACGUAUGCUUUCCAAUUUCCUUUUCUUCUUUGUCUCUCUCAUUUUUCUCCUUUCCUUCUUCCAAAUCAAAGUCUACAAAACUUUUAGUAAGUGAAAAUCAAAUUCUUCUUUUAAGCUUGAAAGAUUUGGGCUUUCUUAAUCAAGGAAAAUAAAGGUUCAUCCAAAGGCAAGGAAGUGGUAAGAGAAAAAGAAUAGGAUUACUUUGUUAUCCUAUAACUUCUGGUAAGUAUUUAAUAGACUAAACUUUGUGUAUAUUGAGUAGGGACUGCUGUUUGAUUACUUGAUAAUUUCUUGGUUGACUGAGUUGAUAUUAGUUAUGUUUUUGGCUUGUUAUAAAGUGAAUUGAUUGUGAUGUGUUGUGAAGUGAAUUGAUUGUGAUGUGUUGUGAAGUGAAAUGAUUGUGAUUAAGGAUUGAUGACUUUUGUGUGGAUAUUAUGUGAUCGGGAAAGCUGAGCCGGGCGGAUAGCUACCCGAGUAUGUGAGAUGGCAAGACUGAGCCGGGCGGAUAGUCUUGUCAAGUGGUUACUGAAAUUUAAAAAUGUGAGGAAAUGUAAGGAUGAGUCAUCUGAUCCUAAUUUGAUAGAAAUAAUGUGGAAUUGAAUUAUUUGACUUGGUUGAGUUUGAGAUUAUUUGCAUUACGUGAGAUGAAAUUAUAUGUUUAUGAGAAUAACUGAAAUGGUUGAUUUUGUGAUUGUUAGUUAAAUGUUGGUAUAAUUUUCUGUAUUGAUAAAGAUUUGAUAAUUCUAGCCUAAUAUACUAUAGUUUAGUAAAUUAAAUGCUUAUUGAGUCGCUAGCUCAUUCCUUAGCAAUUUUUUUUUUCAGGUUAGUGCAGUUGUAGAUAGCCUUAGCUGUGCAUUGCUCUUUUUGCAUCAGUCAAUAUUAUCAGGUGGGCCAGAGGAGUUAUCUAAAGCAUUGGGGCAUUUUGGGAACUUGUGUGAAUUAAACUACUGUAUAAAUAUUUCUUAUAUAUAUUAAGUAUGUCAUGCCACUUAAAUUGUAUGAAUGUAUAUUGUAACUAAGUAGUAAAUUAUGUUUAUAAAGUUAUAUAUAUAUAUAUAUUGCUAUUCAAUGGGAAGUUUGAGUUGGG
Molecule: long non-coding RNA, 7396 nt
Filed under: Ricinus communis (castor bean)
Lineage: Eukaryota; Viridiplantae; Streptophyta; Magnoliopsida; Malpighiales; Euphorbiaceae
Description: long non-coding RNA (RCOM_LNC002033)
Source: RNAcentral